RNAcentral lists this transfer RNA (66 nucleotides) under Ptiliidae sp. BMNH 1274724. RNAcentral describes it as "tRNA-Met". The record is from RNAcentral. Lineage: Eukaryota; Metazoa; Arthropoda; Insecta; Coleoptera; Ptiliidae.
UAAAAGAUAAGCUAAAUUAAGCUAAAAGGCUCAUACCCUUUUUAUAUAGAAUUCCUAUUCUUUUAA